AUACAGCAUUAAAAGAGGGUUAAUAACACAUGGGUACCGAGUCAACCAUUCUCUGGGAAAUGUUUUCAUGCUAAUGGAAUGUGACCAGUUUUAGAGCCAACCGCUAAUUAGCUUAUAACGGUAGUCAUCAGGGCACACAAAAGUAAAAAGAAAUCGCUAUUUUUAUACCACUAACAAGGCUCAAUAUAGCACCACACUUCCACGGUAGCAUAAUGAGGGUCCAUACAUGAAACUGAAGCAUUGAGAACUUUGUAAGUGUAUAGACAGUUCAUCAAAAAGAUUGUUUAUAAUUACAUUAUUACAUUAAAUUGCAUUUCAUUUAGCUGACACUUUUAUCCAAAGCAACUUCCAAUAAAGUGCUUUUAACCCUGAAGGUGCAAACUCCCAACAACAAGUUAAUCAGCUUUAAAUAAGCAAAACUAAAAAGAACCAUAUGAAAGUGCAGCUUCAAUAAAUGUA
Etheostoma spectabile (orangethroat darter) is the source of this 459-nucleotide long non-coding RNA. RefSeq lists it as uncharacterized. Lineage: Eukaryota; Metazoa; Chordata; Actinopteri; Perciformes; Percidae. The record is from RefSeq and is a predicted model, not a curated record. The transcript has 3 exons.